This 503-nucleotide ribosomal RNA is filed under the name uncultured bacterium. Its description in RNAcentral is "partial 16S ribosomal RNA". It matches the Rfam family "Bacterial small subunit ribosomal RNA", at positions 30 to 523 of the family's 1533-position model. The record is from RNAcentral.
AUUGAACGCUGGCGGCAGGCUUAACACAUGCAAGUCGAGCGGAGUGAUGGUGCUUGCACUAUCACUUAGCGGCGGACGGGUGAGUAAUGCUUAGGAAUCUGCCUAUUAGUGGGGGACAACAUCUCGAAAGGGAUGCUAAUACCGCAUACGUCCUACGGGAGAAAGCAGGGGAUCACUUGUGACCUUGCGCUAAUAGAUGAGCCUAAGUCGGAUUAGCUAGUUGGUGGGGUAAAGGCCUACCAAGGCGACGAUCUGUAGCGGGUCUGAGAGGAUGAUCCGCCACACUGGGACUGAGGAACGGCCCAGACUCCUACGGGAGGCAGCAGUGGGGAAUAUUGGACAAUGGGGGGAACCCUGAUCCAGCCAUGCCGCGUGUGUGAAGAAGGCCUUAUGGUUGUAAAGCACUUUAAGCGAGGAGGAGGCUCUUUUGGUUAAUACCCAAGAUGAGUGGACGUUACUCGCAGAAUAAGCACCGGCUAACUCUGUGCCAGCCGCCGCAGUAA